RNAcentral lists this ribosomal RNA (568 nucleotides) under Maribellus luteus. Its description in RNAcentral is "bacterial SSU rRNA". It matches the Rfam family "Bacterial small subunit ribosomal RNA", at positions 154 to 720 of the family's 1533-position model. Lineage: Bacteria; Pseudomonadati; Bacteroidota; Bacteroidia; Marinilabiliales; Prolixibacteraceae. The record is from RNAcentral.
AAACGUGGAUUAAUACCCCAUAGAAUUAAGAUGCUGCAUGGUAUUUUAAUUAAAAUUUCGGUGGCAUAAGAUGGGCAUGCGUCUGAUUAGCUAGUUGGUGAGGUAACGGCUCACCAAGGCAACGAUCAGUAGGGGUUCUGAGAGGAUUAUCCCCCACACUGGUACUGAGACACGGACCAGACUCCUACGGGAGGCAGCAGUGAGGAAUAUUGGUCAAUGGGCGAAAGCCUGAACCAGCCAUCCCGCGUGCAGGAUGACGGCCCUAUGGGUUGUAAACUGCUUUUCUACGCCAAGAAACCUGGUUACGAGUAACCAGUUGCCGGUAGCGUAGGAAUAAGCAUCGGCUAACUCCGUGCCAGCAGCCGCGGUAAUACGGAGGAUGCAAGCGUUAUCCGGAUUCAUUGGGUUUAAAGGGUGCGUAGGUGGGCUUGUAAGUCAGUGGUGAAAUACUGCCGCUUAACGGUAGAAUUGCCAUUGAUACUGUGAGUCUUGAGUAUGGUUGAGGUAGGCGGAAUGUGUUGUGUAGCGGUGAAAUGCAUAGAUAUGACACAGAACACCGAUUGCGAAG